This 333-nucleotide unclassified non-coding RNA is filed under the name Metamycoplasma canadense. Its description in RNAcentral is "Mycoplasma canadense partial contains 16S ribosomal RNA, 16S-23S ribosomal RNA intergenic spacer, and 23S ribosomal RNA". The stretch from base 1 to 97 matches the Rfam family "Bacterial small subunit ribosomal RNA", at positions 1439 to 1533 of the family's 1533-position model. Lineage: Bacteria; Bacillati; Mycoplasmatota; Mycoplasmoidales; Metamycoplasmataceae. The record is from RNAcentral.
CGGUCNCCCGGAGCGACCGCCUAAGGUAGGACUGGUGACUGGGGUGAAGUCGUAACAAGGUAUCCCUACGAGAACGUGGGGAUGGAUCACCUCCUUUCAACGGAGUACACAAUGUUAUGGAAAAAUUAUUUGUAUCCAGUUUUGAGAGAUUUAUCUCUCUUUUUGUUCUUUGAAAACUGAAUAUCGACAUUGAAAAAUUAAAUUAUUAAUAUUUCAAAGUUUAGAUCAACCUAUAGAAUAUAUCAUACAAUAGACAAACAAUAGGUCUUAUACUACUAUUAAACAAGAUAAGAGUUUUUGGUGGAUGCCUUGGGUCUGAAGUCGAUGAGGAGA